RNAcentral lists this ribosomal RNA (254 nucleotides) under uncultured bacterium. RNAcentral describes it as "partial 16S ribosomal RNA". It matches the Rfam family "Bacterial small subunit ribosomal RNA", at positions 524 to 776 of the family's 1533-position model. The record is from RNAcentral.
UACGGGGGGAGCAAGCGUUGUUCGGAUUUACUGGGCGUAAAGGGCGCGUAGGCGGUCAGCACAAGUCAGUUGUGAAAUAUCCGGGCUUAACUCGGAAAGGUCAACUGAUACUGUGCGACUAGAGUGCGGAAGGGGCAACUGGAAUUCUCGGUGUAGCGGUGAAAUGCGUAGAUAUCGAGAGGAACACCUGCGGCGAAGGCGGGUUGCUGGGCCGACACUGACGCUGAUGCGCGAAAGCCAGGGGAGCGAACGGG